Molecule: long non-coding RNA, 6873 nt
Organism: Anolis carolinensis (green anole)
Lineage: Eukaryota; Metazoa; Chordata; Lepidosauria; Squamata; Anolidae
Exons: 3
Source: RefSeq, a predicted model, not a curated record
CACAACGGAGUGCGCAUGCAUCAAGCAGCGCCCUGUUUUCGCGCCCAAAUUGGCGAGCAGGAGAAUCGUCCAAUCGGGCGGCGACACAUGGCGAAGGGGUGGGACCAAGGCUAAAAAAAAACCGGCCGUUUUGGAGGCGGGGCUUCUUCUUGGCUGUAAAUUGUAAAAUUUGCCUCAGACAAUCUCGGGACGCCGAGAGAGAAGGCAGCUUGGCUUGGGAGCCAUUCUGAAGGCCUGGGUCGGAAGAAAGAAAGAAAGAAAGAAAGAAAGAAAGAAAGAAAGAAAGAAAGGGCAGCCGCGGCUAGAAGGCCCGAAGAGACAGGCUCCGUUUCUGAAGCAGGAAUGGCAAAGCCUUGUGAAACGGAUGGAAGAAAUAAAGGCAAAAUUUUUGAAAAUUUCCACAGCUUUUUCUAAAGGGACCAGCGCUGAAUUCAGUCAACGGGAAGAAAGAAACAAAAGGUCGAGAGACAGAGGACAGAAGAUGCUUGAAGACACCCUCACAAGGACACCGCCUGCCUCCCAAAAAAGGUCGUUUUCAGGGUAAUUGGUGUAAUGGUAGGCAUUUAAUGUCUAUCUUAGCAUUAAAAAAAGGGUUACCUUUGCACACGGUUCCCCUCGCGUGUGGCAUCGAAGAAGUCCCACUCGGGAACGGACGGGUCCUCCCUUUGUUCUAGGCAGAUGAUGGGUCUUCCUAUACGGGCCGUAGGGGUCACAGCUUGGGGGUCAGCGGGGGGCCCCGCCCUGGCAUCGUGGGGGGCAGCACACAUUACGGGCAUUUUAAGAUGUCCUUGCAACUUAGAAAUAAAAAUAUCAAUACUAACAUCUUACUAACACCAUUCUAAAUAGGGUACCCUGCCCUUUUAAAUAGGACUGUGUUCUGCCUGAUGGCAAGAACCAAGCUGGGAAGGGAGGGGGCCUCCUGGCCCCCCAUAAAAGGGCCCCCAUGGAAGGACAUUGCAAAAGGCCCCUAAGGUGUCCUGAGAGCAGCCUCUUGGUCCUCAGUGUUCCCCACGGUGCCAGGGCUGGGCCCCUCGCUCUCCCCCAACCCAUGGACCCUGCCGCUUGUAUAUCAUCCGUCCAGGGCCAACGGACGCCCCCUCCCUCCCCGGGCGGAGCUUCGAGGCCACACUCAAGGGGAGACCAGAGCCGUGUGCCUCAUGCCAACGCCUAGCACGUGGCGAACCUUUUUUUUUACUGCAAACAUAGGCAUCAUGAUUGUGAUUUUUGUUAAUUCCUUUUAAAUUUAAUUGUUUGUAUUCGAUAGCAUGGUAGGCUGGUUUUAUAUCAGUGAGCCGCCCCGAGUCCCUCUGGGGAGACGGUGGCAGGGUACAAAAAUAAAAUUAUUAUUAUUAUUAUUGAUUCGAGGCACCUGGAAAAAGAAAUACCAGGAAGCAGAUAAAAUUAUUAUUAUUAUUACUGAUUCGAGGCACCUGGAAAAAGAAAUACCAGGAAGCAGAUAUUAUUAUUAUUAUUAUUAUUAUUAUUAUUGAUUCCAGGAAAAAGAAAUACCAGGAAGCAGAUAAAAUUAUUAUUAUUGUUAUUGUUGUUGUUAUUAUGUAGGACCCCCUUUUAUUUAUGUAAGGCCACACACCCAGGGGACCACUAUUCCUAAUUAAAGCCUGGUUAAAGGGGAUCCUCUAUUCUUAAAGUUAGGCGUAUAGAGAUCUCCUAUCCAGAAACUAACGCGGCCUGCCCUAUAGAGAUCUGUUAAACCAAGGUGGCCUGCCCUAUAGAGAUCUCCUAUUUCACGUAAUACCAGGCAAUAUGGAGAUCCCUGGUUUUUUUAACCGUUAAAUCCCUUAUGUGGGGAUAUCCCUGGUUUUUUUUAACCGUUAAAUCCCUUACGUGGGGAUAUCCCUGGUUAUUUUAACCAUUAAAUCCCUUACGUGGGGAGAUCCCUGGUUAUUUUAACCUUUAAGUCCCUAACGUGGGGAAAUCCCUGGUUUUUUUAAUCUUUAAGGCCAGAUGUGGGGAUUUCCUUGCUUCUUUUAACCCGUAAGGCCAGCCAUGGGGAGAUAUCUUAGGCUGUUUUCACGAAAAGUCAGGUAUAGACGCACUGUUUUCUCUCCCGUUCCAUGUGCCUGGACUCCCGGAGGGCUCCUGCCGGACACCGUCUCCCAUCGGCCGAGAGGGAUCCUUCUUGUCUGGGAAGGAUCUGCAACACAGGUAAAAAGAAGAUUCCGGGAAGGAGAUUCUACAGCGGAGCCCUUAAGCCAGGUGAGACACUCCUUCCAGCCUCCACGGCUGCCUUGCCACACACACACACACACAUGACACACACAACACACAUACACAUGUACAGCUGGGGUCCACGGGGACUCUUCCCCAAUAGAUUGGGGACUCCCACUCCGGCGAUUGGCCAUUGUAAAUGCCUUGAAGCAGUUUGGGGCUUCCGGCCAAGCGCUUGCAAAGAGAAUCCAUUCAAGGUUGGACCCCCUUUUAAAGGGCCUGGCACGUGGUAUUUAUUCCUGGCACGUGGAAAACUCCAUUUGUAAGGCAAACCCUCGUUAAAGGAGGUUUGCAAUUAAUUUAAAACCAGGCUUCUGAGGGACCCGCUGCGUUUAAAGCCAAACCUAGCAGGUGGGAACCCCUUUGGUUAACGUAAGGCGAGGGACCCUCCAUAUUUAAUAAGAUGCCUGGCAGAAUCUUAACCUAAAUGCAGGCCUAUGGGCUACAGCCUAUUCUGCAUAGCCAGGCAUGGGGGGACCCCAGAUUAUUAACUUGAGGCCUGGGAAAAGGAGAUUUUUGUAUUUAUUACAAUAUUUAUAUCCCGCCCUCUCUCCCCUUAAAAGGGGACUCAGAGCAGCUUACGUUAUAUUUACAUAUUUAUUUAUUACAAUAUUUAUAUCCUGACCUCUCCCCUUAAAAGGGGACUCAGAGUGGCUUACAAGUUAUAUUUACAUAUUUAUUUAUUACAAUAUUUAUAUCCCGCCCUCUCUCCCCUUAAAAGGGAACUCAGAGCGGCUUAACAAUAAGACGCAUAUAUAAAAAACCAUAUAGUGCAAUAUAAAUCAUCAUUAACUUACAUCAGUAUUCAUAAAACACAUUAUAAAAUACAGAUAGGUGUGUUCAGUUCAAAUCCAUUCAAGGUAUACGUGGACCCCCUUUUAAUGCCAACCUUUCCACGUGGAAAACUCCUUUUGUAAGGCAAACCCUCGUUAAAGGAGGUUUGCAAUUAAUUUUAAACCAGGCUUCUGAGGGGACCCGCUGCGUUUAAAGCCAAACCUAGCAGGUGGGAAACCCAGUUGGUUAACGCAAGGUGAGGGACCCUCUAUUUUUAAUAGGAUGCCUGGGAGAAUCUUAACCUAAAUGCAGGCCUAUGGGCUACAGCCUAUUCUGCAUAGCCAGGCAUGGGGGGACCCCAUAAGAUGAAUUUGAAGCCUGGUAAAAGGAGAUUUUUGUAUUUAUUAACUUAUUACAUUUAUAUCCCGCUGUCUCCCCUUAAAGGGGACUCAGAGCGGCUUACGAGUUAUAUUUACAUAUUUAUUUAUUUAUUACAAUAUUUAUAUCCCGCUGUCUCCCCUUAAAGGGGACUCAGAGCUGCUUACGAGUUAUAUUUACAUAUUUAUUUAUUUAUUACAAUAUUUAUAUCCUGCUGUCUCUCCCCUUAAAGGGGACUCAGAGCGGCUUACAAGUUAUAUUUACAUAUUUAUUUAUUUAUUACAAUAUUAAUAUCCCGUUGUCUCUCCCCUUAAAAGGACUCAGGGCAGCUUAACAAUAAAACGCAUAUAUAAAAACCAUACAGUGCAAUAUAAAUCAUCAUUAACUUACAUCAGUAUUCAUAAAACACAUCAUAAAAUACAGAUAGGUGUAUUACAUACACUGUAUCAUUAGCAUCGCACAAUAUUAGCAUUAUAUACUACAUUGCAUUAUACCACUAUACAGAAACAUUAUUAGCAAUAUUACAUUUAAUAUAUAAUAUGUAAUUCAUAUUAUAUUGUAUCAUUGUUAGUAUUAUAUUGCAUUAUUUAUUUAUUUAUUUGCUAGAUAUAUAUGCUGCCCUUCUCACCCCCAAGGUGAACGGCUUACAAAUUAAAUUUACAUACAAUAUUAUAUUAUUACCAUAGUACAAUACUGGCAGUAAAUUACUAUAUUGUACUAUAUGAAUAUAUGGUAAUAUUAUUAGUAGUAUUACAUGCAAAAUGUAAUACAUAAUUAAUAUUAUUAUAUUAGUAUAUCGUUUUACAAUAUAAUAUGAACAUUAUAUGUAUAUGCAAUAUGUUAUAAUUAUAUAUUAAAUUUUAUAUAUAUACACACACACACACACACACAUACAUACAUAUAUAUACACACAGUAGAGUCAUCCAACAUAAAUGGGCCAGCGAAUAUUUAUUUAUUUAUUUACAGCAUUUUACCGGGCUGGCCUCGAACUCAUGACCUCCUGGUCAGAGUGAUUUGUUGAUAUUUAUUAUUCAUUUACAGCAUUUAUAUUCUGCCCUUCUCACCCCGAAGGGGACUCAGGGCAGAUCACAUGACACAUAUAGGCAAACAUUCAAUGCCUUUUAACAUAGAACAAAGACAAACAAACAGGCUCCGAGCGGGCCUCGAACUCGUGACCUCCUGGUCAGAGUGAUUCAUUGCAGUUAAUUGCAGCUGGCUUGCUUUCCAGCCUGCGCUGUUGGAUAAUAAGGAGGCAUUAUGGAAAAGCCUAUUAAACAUCAAAUUAAUUGAUGAUUUUACAAAUUAAGCACCAAAACAUCAUUUGACAGAAAAAGUAGUUCAAUAUGCAGUAAUGCUAUGUAGUAAUUACUGUAUUUACGGAUUUAGCACCAAAAUAUCACGACGCAUUGAAAACAUGGACUACAAAAAUGCGUUGAAUAAUCCAGAAUGUUGGAUAAGAGAGUGUUGGAUGAGACUACUGUAUAUACAAUAUAAAUUAGAAUAGCAUGUUAUUGGGGGAGGAGCAUCUUGGUUAUUAGAUGUUUUUAUUAGUUAUUGAUAUUAGUAUAGAUAUGACAUUGAGUAUAUAUUAUCCUAGCACAAUGUUAAUAUUAGUUAUUCAUAUUAGUCUCAAUAUGACAUUAAUAGAGUACAUUAUUAUCCUAGCACAAUGUUAUUAGAUGUUAAUAUUAGUUAUUGAUAUUAGUCCAUAUGACAUUAAUAGAGUAUAUUAUUAUUCUAGCACAAUGUUAUUACAUAGGACCAUGUUGUUGCUAGGGGGAGGGCCCCUCCACUGAUUGUAUUAUUAGUAUUAUGUUGUUGCUAGGGGGAGGGCCCCCCAACUGAGAUCCCCUGUCAUUAAUGUGUCAGACCAGGCAUUUCACUCCUACCUUUACGUCAGAAAGCAGGCUCCCUGUGCGCUAGGCCUUCCUUUGAGGAACACAUUCACGGCUCCGCUUGAGUGUGGCAUUGAGGCCCCACUCAGGGACGGGCGGGUCCUCCCUUUGCCCUGGGCAGAUCGUGGGGGGUGGGCGGAUCUCCCUAGACGGGCAGGGGGUCGCGGCUGGCGGGACAGCGGGAUAUAAAAAUAUAAAUAUAUAUAUAAAAACCCUUGCACCCAAGGAAACAACUCUGGGGACCCAAGCGGCUGCUCCCAGCUCACGUCACGGGCAUUUUAAACAUCUCGUAGCAGCUCAGAUUAAUACCUGAACUAACCUUAACCUGCUAACCCUACUAACACAUUUCUAACUAGAGCAGGAAUUUUAAAUAGGGCUGUUUUUGCCUGUUGGCAAGAACCAUGCUGGGAGGGGGCCUCCGGGCCUCGGGUGAGAAGAACCCUAACCCUGUCCCUGCCCUGCGCUGGGAGCGCCCCCCCUCGGGACCCCAGUGUUUGGUCCCCGCUCUCCCCCAAUCCGACGGCCUAGAAAGCCCCUCCGCCAUCCGCCCAGGGCCAACGGACAGCCCUCCCUCCCCGGCAGCCGCGUUCCUCAUGCAACAGGGAGCCUGGUUCUGGAUGCAAACGUGGGACCCCCUUAGGACCCCCUUUUCUCUGUGCAGGGACCCCCGCUCCCUAUAAAUAAAUGCCUGGUGGAAGGGGAUCCUAGUAGAAAAAGCCACAGUUCCUAAGAGCCCCCAAAAGCGAGAUGCUCCCUUGGUUCAGCCCUUCUGACACUUGUUUUCUCCCUUGUUCUAUGUCUCCGGAAUCGCCGAGGGAGGGGCUCCUCCUGGACAAGAGCCAAGGACGGACAGAUGGACGGACGGACGGAAGGAGAUCCCAGAGAGCAGGACGCCUUGCCGUUCUGGCUGCUGAGCUCGACCCCUUUCCAACAAUGUCAGCGUUCAAGAAUAAAACUCUUCCCAAAAAAAGGUGUUUUCUGGUUAUUAUUCAAACGUUUAAUUUUUGACAGCCUUAAACAUCUAGAUUACAAUACAGUUUGUGCUGCUGCCUUUUAUAAACCUUGUUUUCUACAAAUAAAGUCAAGAGAAACACUAAGUUUUGCACUGUGCUCAGACUCAUUGUUCUGAUAUUCUGUUAUAUGGUUUUAUCAUUUAUAUCGUUUUUAAUGUAUGACUUUAUUACAUGUGACAUGGGAGCAGGGUAUAAAAAUAAAGUAUUAUUAUUAAUAAACACCACAAUUUUCUUGCACCCCAAGUACAUCUGGCCAUUGCCAAAGAGUAUUUAACUGCCUACAUGGCACUAAAGUGUAUUUAUAUGUUGAUUGUUUCUAUUGAUUUUAUGUAAUGUUUGCUUUAUUUGCAUUGAAUUUUUGUCUGGAUGUAUCUUGUAUGCCGCUCAUCUCCAUAAAUGAGUGGGAUAGAAAUGAGGUUAAUAAUUUUACGAAUGUUUUAAUGUAACUUGAAUUUUAAAUUGAGUUGAAAUGUGAUUGUAAUUGUUUAUAAGUGUUAUCUAUUUAUAAGCCACCCUGAGUCUCCUCUUAUUGGGUGAGAAGGUCUGGGAAGAAAUACUGUCAUAAAUAAAAUAUUCUGUGUCCA